Long non-coding RNA from Nomia melanderi (Alkali bee), 1493 nucleotides. RefSeq lists it as uncharacterized. The record is from RefSeq and is a predicted model, not a curated record. NCBI's taxonomy places the organism in Eukaryota, Metazoa, Arthropoda, Insecta, Hymenoptera, Halictidae.
UCAGCGAUGUACGGAGUACGGUUUAUCGAUCUCGGACGGUGAACGUGGGCGCACUUCUAAACGAUACAACGGUUUGUCACGGUUCUGUUACCGCUGUGACUCGAACUUUCACCGUUAAUAUACUAAUACGAUUGAUUAUUUUUAUGUACGAACCAAUUUAUUCAUUCUCGAUUCAUUCGUUUGGCAACACUUCACUUCCGCAGCUUGUAAAAGGCAUCGAAACUGUAGAAUACCAGUGCAGUAUAGAAGUACGGUUCUCGGUUAACACUUCACUGAGAAAAUGAUCGAGGAUUAUACGUGUCGCGCUAACCGUGACUACCAUCACUGUGCAGUACUGUCGGCUCAGACUUGUCUCUGCACCGGCGCAGCUUUCAAUUCGAAGGAAACCAGUGGAACGAACUAUACCCGUUACCGUACCGUUCCAUCGACCUCAAGAGGACUCCACCGAACCAGCAGUUCUAGUGGCUUAUCGGUCGAGUUCAUAAAACGCGCGUAAAAGGAACAAGAUCGAUGGGAAUUACAUUCGAGGCAAUACGAUUGAAAGUAGGAGUACGCUGAACAAUAAUAAGAUCGAUCGAAAAAAUCAAAAAUCUACUCUGUAUUUUCUGGCUCCUUGAAAUAUCAGGUUCGUAGAAAGAAUCGAAUGCUGUCCGAUUGAAUCCACUUGUCGGAGGAAGAAAAUAUACGUACAAGAGAACACACGGUAUUAUGUGAAUCCUUUAUAGGAUAAAACAAUGAAUAUUCAGAGGUAAUCGAAUCGAAGCAGCUGUCCAUAAAUGAGAUCUGUGACAACCAUGAACAUUUAGAGAAUCAAUCGCACGUGAAAGAAACUAAGAACAUUUAAAAAUAGACGGACGUGUUAAAGAAUAUCCUACACGUACUUGUGGAAAUAUGAAAAAUAUAAGGAAGAAAUAGCGAGUAAGUUAUGUUCUCUUUGGGUCCUAGAGAAGAUAUACAAUAACACAUUGUCAACAGUUUGAGAACAUAUCAGGUGAUAUUUAUUUCAAAAUUAGACAAAUACCUAGAGAAACUGAUCAACAACAGACAUGUACACGUUACACCGGCGGUGUGAAAACAUCGCGACUAUACCAGGAAAUUUGAAACAGGUUCUUCUAAGGGAACAAGCUGUGCGGGGAACAUUGGAAAAUUCGAAAACGUAAGAAUUUUAAACUUUCAGGAUGAGAUGGUCAUGCAACAGUGGAUGAAAAGUAAAUGGUGAUUAAAAGUUUAUCAUUGAAAUAUACGGUGUCGGUAAAUGAUCUCCCUUGGUUAACAUAGUCCUCCUAGUAUGCAACUUGUAUGUCAGGGCUGUCAAACCGGGAGAUUACAAGUGUUCUAGGGUUUUUCCUUUCUUGUUGUCCUUAUGGAAAAUUAGCGAUCUUUGGAUCUGAUCUUGACUUUCAUAUCGAACAAUAUACGAAUCUGCUCGUGUAUUUUGUAUAGCAGAUGUGUCCAAUUUAUUCUCCUCAGGCCAAUAACUCGUAAACAGCGAC